RNAcentral lists this ribosomal RNA (2802 nucleotides) under Carboxylicivirga marina. RNAcentral's name for it is "Carboxylicivirga sp. N1Y132 23S ribosomal RNA". It matches the Rfam family "Bacterial large subunit ribosomal RNA". Lineage: Bacteria; Pseudomonadati; Bacteroidota; Bacteroidia; Marinilabiliales; Marinilabiliaceae. The record is from RNAcentral.
AAGAAAGUAGAUAAGGGCGUACGGGGGAUGCCUAGGCUCUCAGAGGCGAUGAAAGACGUGAUAAGCUGCGAUAAGCUACGGGGAAGUGCAAAUAACUGUUAAUCCGUAGAUUUCUGAAUGGGACAACCCACUAUGUUGAAGACAUAGUAUCCAGCAAUGGAGGCAAACCCGGGGAACUGAAACAUCUAAGUACCCGGAGGAAGAGAAAACAAAAGUGAUUUCCUAAGUAGCGGCGAGCGAACGGGAAUUAGCCCAAACCAUUAAUGUUUAGGCAUUAAUGGGGUUGUAGGACUUGCAUAAUCAAAUGUAUUAGAAGUGGAAUGCUUUGGAAAGAGCAACCAGAGACGGUGAUAGUCCGGUACACGUAAUAAGACAAGCGAGGCGAGUAUCCUGAGUAGCGCGGGACACGAGAAAUCCUGUGUGAAUCUGGCGGGACCAUCCGCUAAGGCUAAAUACUCCUGAGAGACCGAUAGAGAACCAGUACCGUGAGGGAAAGGUGAAAAGCACUUCGAACAGAAGAGUGAAAAAGUACCUGAAACCGUGCGCCUACAAGCGGUUGGAGCGGAUUUAAUCCGUGACAGCGUGCCUUUUGCAUAAUGAGCCUACGAGUUAGUCGUAGCUAGCCAGGUUAAGACUUUAAGGGUCGGAGCCGAAGCGAAAGCGAGUCUGAAUAGGGCGAUAUAGUUAGCUGCGCUAGACGCGAAACCGUGUGAUCUACCCAUGAUCAGGUUGAAGCUGUGGUAACACACAGUGGAGGACCGAACCAGUUGACGUUGAAAAGUCUUUGGAUGAAUUGUGGGUAGGGGUGAAAGGCCAAUCAAACUCGGAAAUAGCUCGUACUCCCCGAAAUGCAUUUAGGUGCAGCCUAUGAUUAAUCUUACAGAGGUAGAGCUACUGAUAGGACGCGAGGGUUUCAUCGCCUAUCAACUCCUGAUAAACUCCGAAUGCUGUAAGAUGAUGUCAUGGAGUGAGGGCAUGGGUGCUAAGGUCCAUGUCCGAAAGGGAAAGAACCCGGACCAUCAGCUAAGGUCCCCAAAUGUAUGUUAAGUUGACCAAACGCGGUGUUGUUGCUUAGACAGCUAGGAUGUUGGCUUGGAAGCAGCCAUUCAUUUAAAGAGUGCGUAACAGCUCACUAGUCGAGCGACGAUGCAUGGAUAAUAAUCGGGCAUAAACAUACUACCGAAGCUAUGGAUUGAACUUUAAGUUCAGUGGUAGGGGAGCAUUCCAAACUGGGUUGAAGCUGAAGAUGUGAGUCACAGUGGACUGUUUGGAAAAGCAAAUGUAGGCAUAAGUAACGAUAAUGGGGGUGAGAAACCUCCACGCCGAAAGACCAAGGUUUCCUGAUCAACGCUAAUCGGAUCAGGGUUAGUCGGGACCUAACGCGAACCCGAAAGGGGUAGUGGAUGGCAAGCAGGUUAAUAUUCCUGCACCUGUCUUACAAUAAAAGUGACGGAUCGACCAGAUGCUUACGUACUGACGGAAUAGUACGUUGAGCCUAGUCUACGGACGAAGCGAAAGUAAGUAAUCGGUUCCAAGAAAAGCGAGUAAGACGGCUCGUACCGUAAACGGACACACGUAGUUGGGUUGAGUAUACUAAGGCGCUCGAGUGAUUCAUGGCUAAGGAACUAGGCAAAUUAACUCCGUAACUUCGGGAGAAGGAGUGCUCACAGUGAUGUGAGCCGCAGAGAAAUGGCCCAGGCGACUGUUUAUCAAAAACACAUGGCUUUGCUAAAUCGAAAGAUGAUGUAUAAGGCCUGACACCUGCCCGGUGCCGGAAGGUUAAGUGGAGAUGUUAACUUCGGUGAAGCAUUGAAAUGAAGCCCCGGUAAACGGCGGCCGUAACUAUAACGGUCCUAAGGUAGCGAAAUUCCUUGUCGGGUAAGUUCCGACCUGCACGAAUGGUGCAACGAUCUGGGCACUGUCUCAGCCAUGAGCUCGGUGAAAUUGUAGUUCCGGUGAAGAUGCCGGAUACCCGCAACGGGACGGAAAGACCCCGUGAACCUUUACUGCAGCUUAACGUUGGUUUUGGGUAAGUAAUGUGUAGGAUAGGACGGAGACAAUGAAGUGGCGUCGCCAGGCGUUGUGGAGUCAUCCUUGAAAUACGUCCCUUUGCUUAUCUGGAGCCUAACCCAUUUAUGGGGACACCGUUUGGUGGGUAGUUUGACUGGGGUGGUCGCCUCCAAAAGAGUAACGGAGGCUUCUAAAGGUGCGCUCAAGACGAUUGGUAACCGUCUGUAGAGUAUAAUGGUAUAAGCGCGCUUGACUGUGAGGCCUACAAGCCGAGCAGGUACGAAAGUAGAGCAUAGUGAUCCGGUGGUUCCGCAUGGAAGGGCCAUCGCUCAAAGGAUAAAAGGUACUCCGGGGAUAACAGGCUGAUCGCUCCCAAGAGCUCAUAUCGACGGAGCGGUUUGGCACCUCGAUGUCGGCUCGUCACAUCCUGGGGCUGGAGAAGGUCCCAAGGGUUGGGCUGUUCGCCCAUUAAAGUGGCACGCGAGCUGGGUUCAGAACGUCGUGAGACAGUUCGGUCCCUAUCUGUUGUGGGCGUAGGAAAUUUGAGAAGGCCUGACGUUAGUACGAGAGGACCGCGUUGGACAUACCUCUGGUGCACCAGUUGUUCCGCCAGGAGCAUUGCUGGGUAGCUAAGUAUGGAAGGGAUAAGUGCUGAAAGCAUCUAAGCACGAAGCCUGCUUCAAGAUGAGAUUUCCAUUAAGGGACGUUAGAGACGAUGACGUUGAUAGGCUGUAGGUGUAAGUGUGGUGACAUACGUAGCCGAGCAGUACUAAUUACCCGAAGCUUUCAAGA